Molecule: ribosomal RNA, 372 nt
Filed under: uncultured bacterium
Lineage: Bacteria
Description: bacterial SSU rRNA
Rfam family: Bacterial small subunit ribosomal RNA
Source: RNAcentral
UACGGAGGAUGCGAGCGUUAUCCGGAUUUAUUGGGUUUAAAGGGUGCGUAGGCGGAAUGGUAAGUCAGUGGUGAAAUCCUGCAGCUCAACUGUAGAGUUGCCAUUGAUACUGUCAUUCUUGAGUAUAGAUGAGGUAGGCGGAAUGAGUAGUGUAGCGGUGAAAUGCAUAGAUAUUACUCAGAACACCAAUUGCGAAGGCAGCUUACUAAACUAUAACUGACGCUGAAGCACGAAAGCGUGGGUAUCAAACAGGAUUAGAUACCCUGGUAGUCCACGCCGUAAACGAUGAUUACUGGUUGUUUGCGAUAGACAGCAAGCGACUGAGCGAAAGCAUUAAGUAAUCCACCUGGGGAGUACGUCGGCAACGAUGAA